Penaeus indicus is the source of this 409-nucleotide long non-coding RNA. RefSeq lists it as uncharacterized. The record is from RefSeq and is a predicted model, not a curated record. The transcript has 3 exons. Lineage: Eukaryota; Metazoa; Arthropoda; Malacostraca; Decapoda; Penaeidae.
GAUAGUGAGGGCACGCGUGUGUGAUUCGCUCCAAGUAUGGGGCUGGCUUUUCCAAAGUGGAGUGGAAUUUAAUAGUGCGAAAGUGUUUGUCGAGAUAACAGUGGUUUCUUGUGGCAAUAAUGCCGGAGUCUGAAAAGUCGUUAGACCUUAAGCUUCACAGUCCAGCUGGUGUGGAGCCGAUAAUAUUUCACUGGCCGCUGACAUCGGGUUCAGGAGCGGAUAAACAUGAUGGCGCUUACGAGAUCGUCGAGACCAUACGGUAAGGACGGGGCUCGGGACACAGGUAGCGACGAUACCACAUCAGUACCUUUUGUGAGUACCUGGGGCAAGGUGGGCAUACCUGCAUAUUCCUGACUGCCCUCUGCGGUGGCUUAUAACGCAGGCGCACGUAUGUCAGGCGAUGCGCUGG